ACUUUCAACAACGGAUCUCUUGGUUCCGGCAUCGAUGAAGAACGCAGCGAAAUGCGAUAACGUAAUGUGAAUUGCAGAAUUCAGUGAAUCAUCGAGUCUUUGAACGCACAUUGCGCCCCCUGGUAUUCCGGGGGGCAUGCCUGUCCGAGCGUCAUUG
This 157-nucleotide ribosomal RNA is filed under the name Penicillium brefeldianum. Its description in RNAcentral is "5.8S ribosomal RNA". It matches the Rfam family "5.8S ribosomal RNA". From Rfam's summary of the family: 5.8S ribosomal RNA (5.8S rRNA) is a component of the large subunit of the eukaryotic ribosome. It is transcribed by RNA polymerase I as part of the 45S precursor that also contains 18S and 28S rRNA. Lineage: Eukaryota; Fungi; Ascomycota; Eurotiomycetes; Eurotiales; Aspergillaceae. The record is from RNAcentral.